AACGAACGCUGGCGGCAUGCCUAACACAUGCAAGUCGAACGAGACCUUCGGGUCCAGUGGCGCACGGGUGCGUAACGCGUGGGAACCUGCCCUUAGGUUCGGAAUAACUCCCCGAAAGGGGUGCUAAUACCGGAUAAUGUCUUCGGACCAAAGAUUUAUCGCCUUUGGAUGGGCCAGCGUUGGAUUAGCUAGUUGGUAGGGUAAAAGCCUACCAAGGCGACGUUCCAUAGCUGGUCUGAGAGGAUGAGCAGCCACACUGGGACUGAGACACGGCCCAGACUCCUGCGGGAUGGGGCAGAGGCGAAGAUUAGACAAAGGGCCAGAGGAUUAACAAACUUUGCCGCGUGAGUGAUGAAGGCCGUAGGGUUGUAAGGCUCUAUUACCCGGGUUAUUGAUGACAGUACCGGGUGAAUAAGCCCCGGCUAACUCCGUG
Molecule: ribosomal RNA, 433 nt
Filed under: uncultured bacterium
Lineage: Bacteria
Description: partial 16S ribosomal RNA
Rfam family: Bacterial small subunit ribosomal RNA
Source: RNAcentral